GAUGAACGCUGGCGGCGUGCCUAAUACAUGCAAGUCGAGCGAACGGACGAGAAGCUUGCUUCUCUGAUGUUAGCGGCGGACGGGGGAGUAACACGUGGAUAACCUACCUAUAAGACUGGGAUAACUUCGGGAAACCGGAGCUAAUACCGGAUAAUAUUUUGAACCGCAUGGUUCAAAAGUGAAAGACGGUCUUGCUGUCACUUAUAGAUGGAUCCGCGCUGCAUUAGCUAGUUGGUAAGGUAACGGCUUACCAAGGCAACGAUGCAUAGCCGACCUGAGAGGGUGAUCGGCCACACUGGAACUGCGCCACGGUCCAGACUCCUACGGGAGGCAGCAGUAGGGAAUCUUCCGCAAUGGGCGAAAGCCUGACGGAGCAACGCCGCGUGAGUGAUGAAGGUCUUCGGAUCGUAAAACUCUGUUAUUAGGGAAGAACAUAUGUGUAAGUAACUGUGCACAUCUUGACGGUACCUAAUCAGAAAGCCACGGCUAACUACGUG
This 497-nucleotide ribosomal RNA is filed under the name uncultured bacterium. Its description in RNAcentral is "partial 16S ribosomal RNA". It matches the Rfam family "Bacterial small subunit ribosomal RNA", at positions 28 to 507 of the family's 1533-position model. The record is from RNAcentral.